GGAUUAGAUACCCUGGUAGUCCACGCUGUAAACGAUGAUCACUAGGUGUUCGGUCUAUUGCAGACUGAGUGCCCAAGCGAAAGCGAUAAGUGAUCCACCUGGGGAGUACGUUGGCAACAAUGAAACUCAAAGGAAUUGACGGGGGCCCGCACAAGCGGUGGAGCAUGUGGUUUAAUUCGAUGAUACGCGAGGAACCUUACCUGGGCUAUAAUGCCUCUGCCAGACGCCGAAAGGUGUUUUUCCUUCGGGACAGAGUGCAAGGUGCUGCAUGGUUGUCGUCAGCUCGUGCCG
Molecule: ribosomal RNA, 291 nt
Filed under: uncultured bacterium
Lineage: Bacteria
Description: partial 16S ribosomal RNA
Rfam family: Bacterial small subunit ribosomal RNA
Source: RNAcentral